Molecule: unclassified non-coding RNA, 436 nt
Filed under: Hevea brasiliensis (rubber tree)
Lineage: Eukaryota; Viridiplantae; Streptophyta; Magnoliopsida; Malpighiales; Euphorbiaceae
Source: RNAcentral
AACACUCAUAAAAAAAUACGAUAUAUAUAAAUUAAAAAACCAAGUGACCCAAAAGGAGAGGAGUUAGAAAUAGACCCCAUGCAGUACGACAGACCAUGGCUGAUGUAUGAUACUUCUCUUCUGAAACUCUAAGAAGGCUGCAACACUUGAUUUCCAAUAUCUUGUCUUGGUUUGAUUUAUUUGACAACAACCAAAUUACAUCUCGUUAGGAGGCAUAAGCACAGUAUUCUUAUUCAUAACGUUUGCCUAGCUUUCAUUGCACUUCAGUGAUUUAGUUGCCAGUUGCCGUUUACUCGCCAGAUAGUUUCUUCAAUUUGACUGAUAUCAAGCUCAAGAAUCAUACUUAAUUUAGGCAAAACUUAGAAUUAUUGGAAGGAUCCCUUCAAUCGGUGAGGCAGAACUCAAAAAUGGGAAUGGUCGCGUGCAUGGUAUUAAU